GUGGGGAAUAUUGGACAAUGGGCGAAAGCCUGAUCCAGCCAUGCGGCGUGAGUGAUGAAGGCCUUAGGGUUGUAAAGCUCUUUCAGUAGGGAAGAUAAUGACGGUACCUACAGAAGAAGCCCCGGCUAACUUCGUGCCAGCAGCCGCGGUAAUACGAGGGGGGCUAGCGUUGUUCGGAUUUACUGGGCGUAAAGCGCAAGUAGGCGUAUUGGUCAGUUAGAGGUGAAAUCCUGGAGCUCAACUCCAGAACUGCCUUUAAUACUGCCAGUCGAGAGUCCAGAAGAGGUGAGUGGAACUCCUAGGGUAGAGGUGGAAUUCGUAGAUAUUAGGAAGAACACCAGUGGCGAAGGCGGCUCACUGGUCUGGUACUGACGCUGAGGUGCGAAAGCGUGGGGAGCAAACAGGAUUAGAUACCCGAGUAGUCC
RNAcentral lists this ribosomal RNA (425 nucleotides) under uncultured bacterium. RNAcentral describes it as "partial 16S ribosomal RNA". It matches the Rfam family "Bacterial small subunit ribosomal RNA", at positions 354 to 796 of the family's 1533-position model. The record is from RNAcentral.